This 492-nucleotide ribosomal RNA is filed under the name uncultured bacterium. RNAcentral's name for it is "partial 16S ribosomal RNA". It matches the Rfam family "Bacterial small subunit ribosomal RNA", at positions 29 to 507 of the family's 1533-position model. The record is from RNAcentral.
AGUGAACGCUGGCGGUAGGCCUAACACAUGCAAGUCGAACGGCAGCACAGUAAGAUCUUGCUCUUACGGGUGGCGAGUGGCGGACGGGUGAGGAAUACAUCGGAAUCUACUUUUUCGUGGGGGAUAACGUAGGGAAACUUACGCUAAUACCGCAUACGACCUACGGGUGAAAGCAGGAGAUCUUCGGACCUUGCGCGAUUGAAUGAGCCGAUGUCGGAUUAGCUAGUUGGCGGGGUAAAGGCCCACCAAGGCGACGAUCCGUAGCUGGUCUGAGAGGAUGAUCAGCCACACUGGAACUGAGACACGGUCCAGACUCCUACGGGAGGCAGCAGUGGGGAAUAUUGGACAAUGGGCGCAAGCCUGAUCCAGCAAUACCGCGUGGGUGAAGAAGGCCUUCGGGUUGUAAAGCCCUUUUGUUGGGAAAGAAAAGCAGCAGGUUAAUCCCCCGCUGUUCUGACGGUACCCAAAGAAUAAGCACCGGCUAACUUCGUG